UCUCCGUAGGUGAACCUGCGGAGGGAUCAUUACUGGAAUCGCAAGAUCCCACAACCCUGUGAACCUACCGAAACGUUGCCUCGGCGGGUGCCCGGCCUCCGCGCCGGGCGCUGCGCCCGCCGGCGGCCCCCUACUCUGUCUCUGCAGCGUGGCAUCUCAGAGUCCCAGAAAACAAGUUAAAACUUUCAACAACGGAUCUCUUGGCUCUA
RNAcentral lists this unclassified non-coding RNA (209 nucleotides) under plant metagenome. Its description in RNAcentral is "partial contains small subunit ribosomal RNA, internal transcribed spacer 1, and 5.8S ribosomal RNA". The record is from RNAcentral.